UCUGGUUGAUCCUGCCUGAACUGAUGUGUUUAUUUCAAAGAUUAAGCCAUGCAUGUAUAAGUUUAAUCGUUUAUCGAGAAACCGCGAACGGCUCAUUAGAAUGGCCAUUAUUUACUUGAUCUUGAUUGUCUAAAUGGAUAACUGUGGAAAAGCUAGAGCUAAUACAUGCACUAAAGCUUUGUCCUUACGGAAAAGCGCAUUUAUUAGAACAAAACCACGCGGCUUCGGCUGCUUCUUGUUGACUCAGAAUAACUUAGCUGACCGCAUGGCCUUGUGCCGGCGGCGUGUCUUUCAAGCGUCCACUUUAUCAACUUGACGGGAGCAUAAUCGACUCCCGUGGUGGUGACGGAUAACGGAGGAUCAGGGUUCGACUCCGGAGAAGGGGCCUGAGAAAUGGCCACUACGUCUAAGGAUGGCAGCAGGCGCGCAAAUUACCCACUCUCGGCUCCAGGAGGUAGUGACGAGAAAUAACGAGACUGUUCUCUUUGAGGCCGGUCAUCGGAAUGGGUACAAUUUAAACCCUUUAACGAGUAUCAAGCAGAGGGCAAGUCUGGUGCCAGCAGCCGCGGUAAUUCCAGCUCUGCAAAUACAUAGAAUUAUUGCUGCGGUUAGAAAGCUCAUAGUUGGAUUCGUAUCGAUACCUUGGAACCCUUCGGGUGUCUCUAGGUGUUAUCGAUUUAUCGUAAUGUUCGGUUUUGAGUCCUUAACAGGAUUCUUAACAGGCAUUGCAAGUUUACUUUGAACAAAUCAGAGUGCUUCAAACAGGCGUUUUCGCUUGAAUGAUCGUGCAUGGAAUAAUAGAAAAUGAUUUCGGUUCAGUUUUAUUGGUUUUACGGACUGAGAUAAUGGUUAACAGAGACAAACGGCAGGCUCCACACCACCAGGAGUGGAGCCUGCGGCUUAAUUUGACUCAACACGGGGAAACUCACCCGGCCCGGACACUGUGAGGAUUGACAGAUUGAUAGCUUUUUCAUGAUUCAGUGGAUGGUGGUGCAUGGCCGUUCUUAGUUCGUGGAGUGAUUUGUCUGGUUUAUUCCGAUAACGAGCGAGACUCUAACCUACUAAAUAGUUGGUACAUACUCUUAGUGUAUACAGCUUCUUAGAGGGAUUUGCGGCGUUCAGCCGAAAGAAAUUGAGCAAUAACAGGUCUGUGAUGCCCUUAGAUGUCCGGGGCUGCACGCGCGCUACACUGGCAAAAUCAACGUGCUUGUCCUACCCUGAAAGGGGCGGGUAAACCAUUGAAAAUUUGCCGUGAUUGGGAUCGGAAAUUGCAAUUAUUUUCCGUGAACGAGGAAUUCCAAGUAAGUGCGAGUCAUCAGCUCGCGUUGAUUACGUCCCUGCCCUUUGUACACACCGCCCGUCGCUGCCCGGGACUGAGCCAUUUCGAGAAAUUUGGGGACCGUUGAUUUAAUUUUUCUAAAUUACUUUGAUGGAAACCAAUUUAAUCGCAGUGGCUUGAACCGGGCAAAAGUCGUAACAAGGUAGCUGUAGGUGAACCUGCUGCUG
RNAcentral lists this ribosomal RNA (1506 nucleotides) under Meloidogyne arenaria. RNAcentral's name for it is "SSU rRNA". It matches the Rfam family "Eukaryotic small subunit ribosomal RNA". Lineage: Eukaryota; Metazoa; Nematoda; Chromadorea; Rhabditida; Meloidogynidae. The record is from RNAcentral.